GCCAACAGCCAUAUUAUCCUGAACACACCCAAUCAUGGAAGCUAAGCAGGGUCAGGCCCGGUUAGUACUUGGAUGGGAGACCACCUGGGAAUACCGGGUGUUGUAGGCU
This is a ribosomal RNA of Anolis carolinensis (green anole), 109 nucleotides long. The record is from Ensembl. Lineage: Eukaryota; Metazoa; Chordata; Lepidosauria; Squamata; Anolidae.